Molecule: ribosomal RNA, 433 nt
Filed under: uncultured bacterium
Lineage: Bacteria
Description: bacterial SSU rRNA
Rfam family: Bacterial small subunit ribosomal RNA
Source: RNAcentral
UUCGGGUGCCGGCGAGUGGCGAACGGGUGAGUAAUAUAUCGGAACGUACUUUCAGGUGGGGAGUAACGUAGCGAAGUUACGCUAAUACCGCAUAUUCUGUGAGCAGGAAAGCAGGGGAGUCGCAAGACCUUGCGCUGAUUGAGCGGCCGAUAUCAGAUUAGCUAGUUGGUGAGGUAAAGGCUCACCAAGGCGACGAUCUGUAGCGGGUCUGAGAGGAUGAUCCGCCACACUGGAACUGAGACACGGUCCAGACUCCUACGGGAGGCAGCAGUGGGGAAGUAUUGCACAAUGGGGCGAAAGCCUGAUGCAGCCAUGCCGCGUGUGUGAAGAAGGCUCUAGGGUUGUAAAGCACUUUCAGUAGGGAGGAAAAGUCGAUAGUUAAUACCUAUCGGCCGUGACGUUACCUACAGAAGAAGCACCGGCUAACUCCGUG